GUACAAAAAAUGUAUUUACCUUUCCGUACCCCAUAAUAACAUAUCUAUUAUAUGUGUCACCUGAAUACUGUGUAUUACCUGUAGUAAUUGAAACCCCUCCAACCAUGUAUAUGAAUAUUUUGUAAACACCUGAAUGAAUAUCAUUCCGAAUCGGAAAAUAUUUUAGGCGGACAUUCCGUUUUACUGCGACAUACAUACUGUUAAUACCUAUAUACAUAAGACGAUUAUGAAAAUAAUUACAAUGGAAUCUAAGCAUAAUACACUGCAGCGAAGGAUCAAUAAUAUAAGAAAGACAGCGAAAGAACAAGCAGAGUGUUUAUCUAAGAUGUCUUCCCGUAAGAAGAAGACUUUAGUAGCCGUAGUAGCAAUUGUUGGAUCAUGUAUUAUAAUACCAUCCUUGAUUGACAGCUUUAGAUGAUGAUAUAACAUUUCACAGCAAAAAAUGCAGCAGUUGAUCUAUGAACGUCUGAUGUCCAGUACUGAAAAAUGAGACAAGAUUAAUCUAUCACUCACAUAGUAGAUACAGGUUUAUCACAGCAACUCAUCAAUUAACCAGGAGAGAGAGUAUACCGUCAAACAAGCAAGCGAUGAGUUUAAGCCAACACUAAUAGUGUAGAAAUGAGUAAUGAUACAUCAAUGAACGAAAUAAAAGACACUUUGGUCAUACAUCUUACAUAUAUAUAUGUAUAAUAGAGGUUCAUCAAUCAGUAUAUACGUUUUUAAGGACAAAAGCAUUAAUCUGGAGAAGAGAGAGAGGGAGAGAAUGCAUUCGAACAAGUAUAUAUGACAAAAUAAGCCUAUACCUCAGGAAAGACAAGUUUAGAGGGGAAAAUAAAUCAACAAGACAGAGUAGUGGUUUGGCUGGAAGAAUUCGUUUAAAAUCACAUGUACAUUUAAAAAAAUAUAUUCAAAGACAUGUAUGAAUUAUCAACACCAUUUGUGUAAAGAUAAAAGUAAUUUCCUUUGAACACAUUAUUAGUCAGCAAAAAAGAUAGAUAACCUUUAAUGCAAUAGUAUAAACAAUAUAUAGAUAAAAUGUCAUUUUACCAUGUAUAAAGAUAGUUCUUACA
Long non-coding RNA from Mytilus californianus (California mussel), 1070 nucleotides. RefSeq lists it as uncharacterized. The record is from RefSeq and is a predicted model, not a curated record. Lineage: Eukaryota; Metazoa; Mollusca; Bivalvia; Mytilida; Mytilidae. The transcript has 2 exons.